Molecule: ribosomal RNA, 460 nt
Filed under: uncultured bacterium
Lineage: Bacteria
Description: partial 16S ribosomal RNA
Rfam family: Bacterial small subunit ribosomal RNA
Source: RNAcentral
CCUACGGGAGGCAGCAGUGAGGAAUAUUGGUCAAUGGACGAGAGUCUGAACCAGCCAAGUAGCGUGAAGGAUGACUGCCCUAUGGGUUGUAAACUUCUUUUAUAAAGGAAUAAAACGAGGCACGUGUGCCUUUUUGCAUGUACUUUAUGAAUAAGGAUCGGCUAACUCCGUGCCAGCAGCCGCGGUAAUACGGAGGAUCCGAGCGUUAUCCGGAUUUAUUGGGUUUAAAGGGAGCGUAGAUGGGUUGUUAAGUCAGUUGUGAAAGUUUGCGGCUCAACCGUAAAAUUGCAAUUGAUACUGGCAUUCUUGAGUACAGUUGAGGUAAGCGGAAUUCGUGGUGUAGCGGUGAAAUGCUUAGAUAUCAUGAAGAACCCCGAUUGCGAAGGCAGCUUACUAAACUGUGACUGACAUUGAUGCUCGAAAGUGUGGGUAUCAAACAGGAUUAGAUACCCUUGUAGUC